RNAcentral lists this transfer RNA (68 nucleotides) under Marmota monax (woodchuck). Its description in RNAcentral is "tRNA.Ala". Lineage: Eukaryota; Metazoa; Chordata; Mammalia; Rodentia; Sciuridae. The record is from RNAcentral.
GGUUUGUGGCUCAGUGGUAGAGUGCCCUACUAGCACAUGUGAAGCACUGGGUUCAAUCCUCAGUACCA